GACGAACGCUGGCGGCGUGCUUAACACAUGCAAGUCGAACGGAAAGGCCCUGAUUUCGUGGGGUUCCCGGGAGGCGAACGCGUGCGUAACACGAGAGCAUCCUGACCUUGCCUUUGGGAUGACUUCAGGAAACUGGGGCUACUACCGGAAAGGAGCUCCUGCCACGGGGUGGGGGUCGGAUAGUUGCGGCGGUUGGGGAUGGACUCGCGGCUUAUCCGCUUGUUGGGGGGGUGGUGGCUUACCAAGGCUUUGACGGGAAGCCGGCCUGAGAGGGUGACCGGCCACAUUGGGACUGAGGUACGGCCCAGACGCCUACUGGAGGCAGCAGUGGGGAAUAGUGCACAAUAGGCGGAAGCCGGAUGCAGCAACGCCGCGUGCGGAAUGACGGCCUUCGGGUUGUAAACCGCAUUCGCCUAUGACGAAGCGGGAGUGACGGUAAUGGAUAAAGAAGCACCGGCUAACUACGUG
Molecule: ribosomal RNA, 468 nt
Filed under: uncultured bacterium
Lineage: Bacteria
Description: partial 16S ribosomal RNA
Rfam family: Bacterial small subunit ribosomal RNA
Source: RNAcentral